RNAcentral lists this ribosomal RNA (482 nucleotides) under uncultured bacterium. RNAcentral describes it as "partial 16S ribosomal RNA". It matches the Rfam family "Bacterial small subunit ribosomal RNA", at positions 30 to 507 of the family's 1533-position model. The record is from RNAcentral.
AUUGAACGCUGGCGGCAUGCCUUACACAUGCAAGUCGAACGGUAACGGGCUUUCGGGUUCCGACGAGUGGCGGACGGGUGAGUAAUACAUCGGAACGUGCCCGAACCUGGGGGAUAACGAGGCGAAAGCUUUGCUAAUACAGCAUACGAUCUACGGAUGAAAGCAGGGGACCGCAAGGCCUUGCGCGGACGUGGCGGCCGAUGUCAGAUUAGGUAGUUGGUGGGGUAAAGGCGUACCAAGGCGACGAUCUGUAGCUGGUCUGAGAGGAUGAUCAGCCACACUGGAACUGAGACACGGCCCAGACUCCUACGGGAGGCAGCAGUGGGGAAUUUUGGACAAAGGGCGCAAGCCUGAUCCAGCCAUGCCGCGUGCAGGAUGAAGGCCUUCGGGUUGUAAACUGCUUUUGUACGGAACGAAAAGCCUUCUUUUAAUACAGGAGGGUCAUGACGGUACCGUAAGAAUAAGCACCGGCUAACUACGUG